CGGGGUGUGGCGCAGUUGGUAGCGCGCCUGCUUUGGGAGCAGGAGGUCCGCAGUUCGAGUCUGCGCACCCCGACCA
This 76-nucleotide transfer RNA is filed under the name Ktedonobacter sp. 13_1_40CM_4_52_4. RNAcentral's name for it is "tRNA-Pro". It matches the Rfam family "tRNA". From Rfam's summary of the family: Transfer RNA (tRNA) molecules are approximately 80 nucleotides in length. Their secondary structure includes four short double-helical elements and three loops (D, anti-codon, and T loops). Further hydrogen bonds mediate the characteristic L-shaped molecular structure. tRNAs have two regions of fundamental functional importance: the anti-codon, which is responsible for specific mRNA codon recognition, and the 3' end, to which the tRNAs corresponding amino acid is attached (by aminoacyl-tRNA synthetases). tRNAs cope with the degeneracy of the genetic code in two manners: having more than one tRNA (with a specific anti-codon) for a particular amino acid; and 'wobble' base-pairing, i.e. permitting non-standard base-pairing at the 3rd anti-codon position. RNAcentral also lists the same sequence under 3 other names. Lineage: Bacteria; Bacillati; Chloroflexota; Ktedonobacteria; Ktedonobacterales; Ktedonobacteraceae. The record is from RNAcentral.